CUCUCCGCGGCGGCGGCGGCGGCAGGGGCUGAGGGCACAGCCAGCGGGCGGCGCGCCGCGGACUCCAAGGCAGCCCGCGGAAAGACAGAAGUCAGCCUGCGUGGAUGAGGGGACGACGGAAGGCAGCAGGUAAAACGUGAACUUUCGGGGUGCCUGGGUGGCUUAGUCACCUAAGCACCUGAC
This 183-nucleotide long non-coding RNA is filed under the name Felis catus (domestic cat). RNAcentral's name for it is "lncRNA (ENSFCAG00000043565.2)". The record is from RNAcentral. Lineage: Eukaryota; Metazoa; Chordata; Mammalia; Carnivora; Felidae.